AACGAACGCUGGCGGCAUGCCUAAUACAUGCAAGUCGAACGAGACCUUCGGGUCUAGUGGCGCACGGGUGCGUAACGCGUGGGAAUCUGCCCUUGGGUUCGGAAUAACAGUUAGAAAUGACUGCUAAUACCGGAUGAUGACGAAAGUCCAAAGAUUUAUCGCCCAGGGAUGAGCCCGCGUAGGAUUAGCUAGUUGGUGAG
Molecule: ribosomal RNA, 200 nt
Filed under: uncultured bacterium
Lineage: Bacteria
Description: partial 16S ribosomal RNA
Rfam family: Bacterial small subunit ribosomal RNA
Source: RNAcentral